UUUUAGUUAGAAAUUACAGGUUUAUUUUUAUAUUUUGAAAAAGGCAUAAUAAAAAACAAAAACAACCAGGCAUAUCAAUAUUUGUGACAUACACAUACACACAAAAAUGAAUACAGGAAAUAAUAUGAAGAAAAAGCAUAGUAUGUUUUGAAACCAACGUGGGGUAUGAACAGAUUUUUGAUGAAAUACAACUAAAGGCUUUAAGUGUCGAUGUAAUGUUCGAGAUAUUACGAUCACUCUUAUCCUACUAGCAAAAAUUAGCAAAGUAGGCUUUAAAACAUGAUUCCUGUUGUUUUAGCAGGAUUUAUUUUGGUAAUGAUCCUGCUUCCUUAUAAACAACUACUUUACUUAUCAUUGUUGAAGUCUUCUUGUGUUAAGGAGUGCAAUGAGGCCAGGCAUGGUGGCUAACACCCGUACUCCCAGCACUUUGGGAGGUGUGAGCCACCACACCAGACCAUAAACACACAUUUUUAAAAAAAGACAGAGAAUUUCCCGCCUGAGAAAUGGUUAAUUCACUUGUUAAUAAAUUGUCAUGGCUAUUUUUU
RNAcentral lists this non-coding RNA (545 nucleotides) under Pongo abelii (Sumatran orangutan). The record is from RNAcentral. Lineage: Eukaryota; Metazoa; Chordata; Mammalia; Primates; Hominidae.